UUGAUCCUGGCUCAGAUCGAACGCUGGCGGCGUGGCUAAAACAUGCAAGUCGUACGGAAAGGUUGUCUUGAUCCUUCGGGUGACGAAACGAUACUCGAGUGGCGAAAGGGCGAGGAAUACAUGGGCAACGUGCCUUAUGCACGAGGAUAACUGCGGGAAGCUGCAGUUAAUACUCGAUAAGACCACAGCAUCUUCGGGUGCAGGGGUCAAACGGUGGGGACCUUCGGGCCUACCGGCAUUUGAGCGACCCAUGUCCUAUCAGCUUGUUGGUGAGGUAACGGCUCACCAAGGCGACGACGGGUACCGGGACUGAGAGGUUGACCCGGCGCAUCGGGACUGAGACACUGCCCGGACUCCUACGGGAGGCUGCAGUAACGAAUAUUCCGCAAUGGGCGAAAGCCUGACGGAGCGACGCCGCGUGUGGGAGGAAGCCCUUCGGGGUGUAAACCACUGUCAGGGAUUACCAAGCAAAGUUGGCGAAUAGCCUUCUGCGUUGAGGAGUCCCAGAGGAAGCCACGGCUAACUUCGUGCCAGCAGCCGCGGUAAUACGAAGGUGGCGAGCGUUGUUCGGAAUCACUGGGCUUAAAGGGCACGCAGGCGGACUGUAAAGCGUCUUGUGAAAGCCCCCGGCUUAACCGGGGAAUUGCUAGGCGAACUGGCAGUCUUGAGGCAGGUAAGGGCGAGUGGAACUCUUGGUGGAGCGGUGGAAUGCGUAGAUAUCAAGAGGAACGCCGGAGGCGAAAGCGACUCGCUGGGCCUGACCUGACGCUGAGGUGCGAAAGCCAGGGUAGCGAACGGGAUUAGAUACCCCGGU
RNAcentral lists this ribosomal RNA (814 nucleotides) under uncultured organism. RNAcentral's name for it is "bacterial SSU rRNA". It matches the Rfam family "Bacterial small subunit ribosomal RNA", at positions 13 to 791 of the family's 1533-position model. The record is from RNAcentral.